AUAUAUAUAUAUAUAUAUAUAUAUAUAUAUCAUGUUUUAUAUUAUAUUAAUUCAUAUAUUAUGUCAAACUCUAAACCUCAGCCCUAGUACUUUAUGAGAACCAGUAAAGUAAAAAAGACAGUUUUUUUUGAGCUGCCUGAGGGAGUAGAGAGUAACGUCUUGCAUGAAGAUUUGCGAAUCGGUUAAGAACAGCAACUUCAUCAGUGAUGUCAACCACAUUGCUUUUAAUUGAGAGAAUCGCUAAGUUGUUCAGACGAGUUUGGUCUAUAGUACUGCGUAGCCACGUGUGGAGACGUCUCAAUGAACUGAAAGAUCGCUCACAUGUGCAGCUAGUUACUGGUAUGGUAAGUGCAACCUGAAGUACCUGUAUUACAAACGGAAACAUAAUUCCUCUCUCUGUAGCUGAAUUUUGUAAUGUUUUGCAAGUUUCUCUAGGCAUUCUUCAGAGAGAAAGCUUUCUUACUUUGUACUACAUGCAAACAAACCACUUUUAUAAUUUCCCCCUUUAAAUUGUGUUGCUUCAUCAAUGCUCAGUAAAAAAUAUUUAAAAAAAUGUCUGUAAUCAUACACUGUGAGAUUAGUAAACAACACAUUUUCCUUAAAGGUGCCAUAUGUAAUAUAUUUAAUGGACUAAAGCAUACAAUUACCAUAAAAUGUUAUCAGAAAUUUUGGAAACAUGCUAAGUUCAAAUACUGGCUUCUCUGAAAACAAUGCUACAGCCAGUAAGUAUGUAUUCUACUUUGAAAUGUCCGUUCAGGGCCAGGGGUGUAUUCCAGAAAGCAGGGUUAAUUUACCGUCACAUGUACCCGGAACUCUCGGUUGAUUAACCCAUUCCUUGCUUACUCUGGGUAUGUUGGUUCCAGAACACCUGCGCGGGGUUAGUUCACUCAACCAAGAGUUUGAAACUCAAGAGUUUGUGCACGUUCACGGUGAACUCAGAAAGGCAUUCUCAGCAGAUCGCCGAAUCCACGAGUCACCAUGGAAACAGACGCAAGAAGAAAGGCGCGCCAUAUUUCAGUGAAGCAUAACAUGAAGUUUUAAUGACUGCAAACGAGCAUUACUUCAUCUUCACUCGUAAUAGCGAUAGGUGCUACAUUGGUUUAGGACUGAGAGUUUGCUUGAUAGAAAUUAUACUGAAUCAUUGCGUGAAUUUUAAAAUUAAUCAAACUAUAAAGUUCUACCGUACAUAUAAAAUCUUAAUUCAACAUUAAUAUUAGACCUCACUCAACUACAUUAAUGUUUAAUAGGUCGACCGUUACGUUAUUUGUUUGCACUGUACUUCAUUGUAAGUAUUAACAUUCAUAUAUAUUAAUAUUAUGAUAACAGGCUAUAGGUUUUAUAUAUAUUUUAUUUUAAGAUACAUUUUAAUGGUAUUUACCAUGAUCUGUGUAUGCUAAUUUUAUUUUACUGUCAUGUAAACUGAAUGUAUUUCCUUUAUUUUUAAUACCCUUUGAUGUACCCAGUUGGGGUUUCUAAAAUCAUAUCACCUUUAAUUUCCCACAGUUGCUGAUAGUCUCAAUGUAUUAACAGACCCUCUUUCAACUGUAGGAUCUCCCAUAGUUGUCAUCAUUUUCCAUUGAUUUAAUGUAAUGUUUUUUAGUAGGCCACACAUGAUUAUUCAUGUGCAUUAUAAGAUGAAGAUCUGCUGUAACAGAGGUGGACAGUGAUAGGAGUUACAUGUCCAUUGUGUUAUUUUCUCAUUUGAUGUACAGUAGGGUCCAUCUGCCUCCACCAACUUGGUACGGAAUGAAAUUAUGUUGUUUUAACUGAAGAUCGUGUGUCUGACUAUACAUUAUAUAUGUUAUGAUCUCAGCAUUAGGGAGAAGUAACUCAUCUCUUCCUUGUUAAUAAGAAGCUGUAAAAGGUCCCUAUUGAAAUGCAGAACAAAAAUGAAAUUUAGAGAUGGACCAUGUACAGUUUCUGAUGAGGUAGAGGAGGCUGAGCAUCAGAAAGAUACAUCUUUUCAUUGAAUCACCUGAGCACCAGCUAAAUGAGGUCACUGUACAAUGUAAAAAAAAAAAGAUAUUUUUUUACUGACAUUUACCGUAAAUAAUUAUAGAAUUUCUGUCUUUUUCAUAAUAAGAGAAUAUACCUGUAAAAUACAGAAAAACCACGUUUUUCAAUAAAUCUGCUGUAAAAGUACAGUCAAAGUCUGUAACUUUAAAUUAUAAGAAUCCACCAUUUUUGUUUUUUAUGCAUGUUUGCUGUAAAUUUUAAGUAAUAAACACACUAUGAAACCUAAUGAAAAUCAAUUUUACAGAACUGUUCUGUAAAAUUACUUACAAUACACACACAGAAACACCCACCGGAAAUAAAAUAAUAAAGGAUAUUUUGAUAUUUUAAAAAUAAUUUAAUAAUGUCAAACUGUUAAGUAAUUCAUUACCCCUCUCUUUAAAAAAAUGUGGUAAAUUGUAAUAUCAGUUUAUGUUUGGCAGAAUAAAACUUUAUUCCACAGAACCACAGAAAAUGAGGUCAGCAAACAGUUCUGUGUUGUGACUGGACAAAAUCGUCGUUGCCGGAACUGUUCAGCCAAUGAAUGCCCGAGAAUCAGUGCCAGUUGCGCCAGGAGAGCUAUCUGAAGAAGGAAGAGACAGCCUGGCUGCACAGAAGUCCGUGUUCACGCCAAGUGUUAAUAUUUAGCAUCAACUAAAGAAAACCUCAUCAAGCAAACAGACGUGACCAAGACGAGGCGGUGGCCACUGGUUUAAUGAUGGCUAACAAGAUCAUUGAGAGAAGCCGCCCACAGUGUCCAAAGCCUGGAGUUAUGGAAUUUUCUUCCUUAUGGAUGCCUCCUAAGAUGACUGACAUCUUUCUCAGAGUUAAUGUUAAAACUUUUAUGUAGUGACGGCUAAGGGUGAGUGAAUUGAGACUGAAGAAAACUAAAGUGCACAGUGAUAACGAACAGUGACAUGUCAUUCUAUGAGAUAUUUGAUGUGAGCAUUUCAUAUAGUUAAAGGUGGGGUAUGCGAUUCUGGAGAAAUCCAAUACCAUGACAAAUACCAUGAUAUAGAACGAACAUCGACACAUCAAGUAAUGUAACUAACGUCAGCUAGGUUGUGGGUUAGCAAACUGUCUCUACAGUUGCUGCUGUGAAGCUAACAGCCAGAGAAGAUAAGACGGUUUCCCAGAGCCAACAAUCCAGCUCCAGACAGCGAUACUCACAACUCUCCUGCUACUAUAGCUAACAUCACAAAAACAGCAUAUCUUGGCAAGCUAGAAAGUAAGCUGAAUGUCCGUGGGCAAGUAAUGUAACAUUCCCUGACACACAAAUCAUGGCUGGAAUAGUGUUGUGUGGCUCGGUCAUUCCCAUUUACAGAGCCAGGGCUGUGUACAAACACAGGAGUAUUUUUCAAUGCACACACUGAACGGACUGCUAGCAUUUUUUGACAAAAAGACAUGUAUUGGAUUAGAAUUGCAUACCCCACCUUCAAAGUCCCAAUCCUUUAAAUUUUUUCAGCACACUUUCCAUCUUACUGUUACUGUUGAAAAUGCACUAAACAACUGUGUGUAGGCCCCUUAUAAGGACUGUAACAACUGUUUCGGUAUUAGGUUCUGUAAUUGGCUCUUGUUCUUUGUAUGGGGGGGGGGGUUUAUGUAAAAAAUAUUAAGAACACUUUACCCUAUUAUUUCACCAUUUUAAUUCUACUUAAUUCUCCACCUUAUUUUAGUGUUUACUCAUAGCUACUUUAAUCUGCUCACCUUUUCCCUUCAUGUCUCUACCUCCGCUCUGCCUUUUUCUGUUUCUCUCUCCCACAACCAGCGAUUCCAUUUUCACAGCAGCAGGUGAGCCGCGUGUGGAGGAGGCUUGCUGUUAAUGACGUUGCCUAUCAAAACGAUCACUGUUGCUUUACCUGGUCCGUGCUUAUAAAAUAUCCACUGUGUCGUCUUCUAACGUAAUACCAGAGAACGUCUCUCUCUCUCUCUGUUUCUCUGCAGAGCAUGUGCGAUUGUCAGUAGACCGCACGGGAGGAGGCAGAGCUAGGGGAGAUUGUCCACUAAUUAAUUAAUAGCAGAUGGUGUCAUUCUAAAAAUAAAAAAUGCUAAAAUGGGUUGCCAAUUAUACCUGAGCGGUAGGGGUGUAACUGUACACAAAAUUCACGGUUCAGUACGUUUUCGGUACAGCAGGGAAAAUAAAAAAUUUAUAUAUUUUUGUAAUUUAUUCUGAAAAAUGCAAACAUUCAACAGUGGCUCAUUGGCCAUAAUUCUUACUGUACAGUUAAUGUCAUAUUGUCAAUAAGAAAAAAUAAAUAACACAGAUGUCAGUAAUACUCCAUCGUAAGACUCUGACUUGCUGAUAAUUCCUGCACAGUUGCAGCUUGCACUGAUUUAUACAGGGCAGGCACAAUGGACUAACUAAAAUGCACACGUGAAGGGACAUUGUAGCGAGGGUCAAGCACUUUUGGCAAUUUUCCACUACACAUUACGGUUCGACUCGACUCGACUCUGCUCGCUUUACUUUUCUGAGCUUGCUUUUCCACUGCAGUUUAGUGCCGCCUCAACAUGGGUGGGAUUAUAGGCUGAUCAUCAAUAGUUGCGCCACCUCUACUGCUGUUUUAGAAGCAAGCUUUCCAGUAGCUGGUCAACUAAAUAAAGUGAAGCUUUCAAGCAGAAUAUAGAGUUAACGUAACAAAAGUACCAUCCUCCAUCGUGGAAUCCAACAACGCCAUGGCACUCUCCCUUCCAUUGCUCGCCGGUCUAUUGCCAUAGAUAGCGUCCAUUUGGUCAAACCACUUCCACUUUCUUCUGUUUGAACCACACUGGCUGUUGUGGUCCUUGAUGGUUCUGUAGUCACUUAAGUUUUUUUUAAACUUUUCCCUAAACUGUUGGUAGGUCCGGUGGUAGCCGUGUGCGGCCAACAUCCGAGACACUUCCUGAAAGACUUUUUCGUUUCACGUAAUUUGUUCGUCACUAAUGAGAGGAACGUCUGCACUUAUAUAUAAUGUAUAUGUACAGGUGCAUCUCAAUAAAUUAGUAUGUCGUAGAAAAGUUCAUUUAUUUCAGUAAUUUAAUUCAAAAAGUGGAACUUUCAUAUAUUCUAGAUUCAUUACACAAAGUUAAAUAUUUCGUGCCUUUUUUUGUUGUAAUCUUGAUGAUUACGGCUUAAGCUCAUGGAAAUCAAAAAUCCAGUAUCUCAAAAUAUUAGAAUAAAGAAUUUAUAAUACAGAAAUGUCGACCUUCUGAAAAGUAUGUUAAUUUAUGCACUCAAUACUUGGUUGGGGCUCCUUUUGCAUGAAUUACUGCAUCAAUUACUGUCUCUCAUGUUCCUCUUGACAAUACCCCAUAGAUUCUCUAUGGUGUUCAGGUCAGGCGAGUUGGCUGGCCAAUCAAGCACAGUAAUACCAUGGUCAGCAAACCAGUUACUAGUAGUUUUGGCACUGUGGGCAGGUGCUAAGUCCUGCUGGAAAAGGAAAUCAGCAUCUCCAUAAAGCUUGUCAGCAGAUGGAAGCAGAUGCCCCAAAAUCUCCUGGUAGAUGGCUGCAUUGACUCUCGAUAUAUAUGUGUGUGUGUGUAUGUGUAUGUGUAUAUGUAUGUAUGUAUGUAUAUAUAUAUAUAUAUAUAUA
This is a long non-coding RNA of Myxocyprinus asiaticus (Chinese sucker), 5561 nucleotides long. RefSeq lists it as uncharacterized. The record is from RefSeq and is a predicted model, not a curated record. Lineage: Eukaryota; Metazoa; Chordata; Actinopteri; Cypriniformes; Catostomidae. The transcript has 3 exons.